GGAAGAAGUUAUUCUUCUUAAACAUCAGUAGUGCUUAUUGUACCAGAGGCAUAGGCAUCUUCUCUACUCGUUGGUGAUUGGAAGGGUAUAGCAUGAGUGGAUUGUUGUUGAUCUAAGUUAUCGAUGCCCUCUACGUGCCAAUGAUGCAGACUGUUUCUCCUGGUUUUUGUGACCUCUGGUUCUCCAUUGAUCAUGGUCUCACCCACCCAUGGGUGGUAUAUUGCUUAUAGUUGUUUUGGAUCCUAGAUUGCCUUGUUUAUCACUACGGAUGAUUGUAUGAGUCUCUCUAG
RNAcentral lists this unclassified non-coding RNA (290 nucleotides) under Hevea brasiliensis (rubber tree). The record is from RNAcentral. Lineage: Eukaryota; Viridiplantae; Streptophyta; Magnoliopsida; Malpighiales; Euphorbiaceae.